CACGGGCGCCCAGCCCGCUCACCUCCAGCCGCGCCGCGGCCGCCGCCACUGCCACCGCCUUGUCCGCUAGACGCCGGGGCUGCAUCUGCCUGCACCGCGCUGGGGGCGCUGGGCGGGGGACCGCCUGCACGUCGGGGACCAGGGAGUUUGACCCAGCAAGGGAGAGGCGGCCAGACCCGGGCCCGCGGGACCUCCCUGGGGACGGCGCUCCAGAGCUGGGCGGGUGGGGCUGGGCGGAGGACGAGUUAGGCUGCGGAGCAAAGGACAGGAGCAUUCCUAUAGGCGUCACCAAGAAUGAAGGGGACCCGCUGAGGUCAUGCAGACAAGUCUGUUUCUAAAUCCCAUCGGAAAGCUGAGUCAAGGGCGUCAUGCCUCAGUUUCCCCAUCUGUACAAGACAGUAACACAUAUGUCACCUACACAGGGUGUGGUGAAGACGAAAAAUGUAUUAUUAAAAUAGCACGUGGCUUAGAGAGGACACUAAAAGCUAAAAUUUGCUGUACAGAUACUCGGCGCUUUCCAUGUAUUUCUUCUGAAGCAUCUUCUUUGAGUUAGUCUUCUUUUAGGGGGAAAAUGUGUAAUGUUGAUAUGACUAUGCCCCAUAGUACUUGAAUGUGGCUAUCAAAACAUGGAAAAGAGCUACUUACUUUUAUAGCUUAACUAUAUUUAUGCAGGAAGUAAAAUAAUAAUCUUCACCCCAAGUAA
RNAcentral lists this long non-coding RNA (703 nucleotides) under Rattus norvegicus (Norway rat). RNAcentral's name for it is "long non-coding RNA NONRATT029383". The record is from RNAcentral. Lineage: Eukaryota; Metazoa; Chordata; Mammalia; Rodentia; Muridae.